GCUUUCAGCCCAGCGUUCAGAGCAACAUCGCUUCUUGAUCCUUCGAUGUCGGCUCUUCUUGUCAUUGUGAAGCAGAAUUCACCAAGCGUGGGAUUGUUCACCCACUAAUAGGGAACGUGAGCCGGGUUUAGACCGUCGUGAGACAGGUU
Molecule: non-coding RNA, 149 nt
Filed under: Lepisosteus oculatus (spotted gar)
Lineage: Eukaryota; Metazoa; Chordata; Actinopteri; Semionotiformes; Lepisosteidae
Description: Eukaryotic large subunit ribosomal RNA
Rfam family: Eukaryotic large subunit ribosomal RNA
Source: Rfam by way of RNAcentral